Otolemur garnettii (small-eared galago) is the source of this 107-nucleotide small nuclear RNA. NCBI's taxonomy places the organism in Eukaryota, Metazoa, Chordata, Mammalia, Primates, Galagidae. The record is from Ensembl.
GUACUUGCUUUGUCAGCGCAUAUACUAAAAUUGGAACAAUACAGAGAAGAUUAGCAUGGCCCCCGUGAAAGGAUGACACGCAAAUUUGUGAAGUAUUCCAUAUUUUU